Molecule: ribosomal RNA, 253 nt
Filed under: uncultured bacterium
Lineage: Bacteria
Description: partial 16S ribosomal RNA
Rfam family: Bacterial small subunit ribosomal RNA
Source: RNAcentral
UACAGAGGUCCCAAGCGUUGUUCGGAUUCACUGGGCGUAAAGGGUGCGUAGGCGGUCGGGUAAGUCUGAUGUGAAAUCUCACAGCUUAACUGUGAAACUGCAUUGGAUACUAUCCGGCUCGAGGAAUGGAGGGGAGACUGGAAUACUUGGUGUAGCAGUGAAAUGCGUAGAUAUCAAGUGGAACACCAGUGGCGAAGGCGGCUCACUGGACCACAACUGACGCUGAGGCGCGAAAGCUAGGGGAGCAAACAGG